Pogona vitticeps (central bearded dragon) is the source of this 1952-nucleotide non-coding RNA. The record is from RefSeq and is a predicted model, not a curated record. NCBI's taxonomy places the organism in Eukaryota, Metazoa, Chordata, Lepidosauria, Squamata, Agamidae.
UCCGUGAGUAAUCCGUCCCACCCCUUUCUCAACUUGCCCUUUCACCGGAUAUUACUCCACUUGGCCGGUAGCCACCUCUCCUCAGAGCAUCGUUGCCGUCUUCUUCGGAAAACCCGAGUGACGCGCGCCCGCGCAGUUGCGCGCCGGCCCUUCGGGGUUCGCCUCCCGUUCCAGAAAGAGGCGUGACUCACCCACCCCGCCAAGGGCCGCCCCAGCGAAGUCCCGGGUCGAGGCCGGGAAAACGCGCGCGCUCAGAAGUUGAGCCAGGAGAGGGCGGAGGGAAAAAGGGUUUGAGGUGUAUAAAGAGAGACCCGCGACGGGUAGAGGAGAAGGGCGAGCGCGCCGCCGAUUGCGCCCCGGGGAUUCGUCGCGAGGUCUUUUUUUUUGAGCCGCUUUUGGGCAGGCACCAUGGAAGUGCUCUCUGGAAGCCUGCGGGUUUUUUUGCCCGCAGCCUCGUGGUUGCUGCUCCUGCCGCUUUGCGGGAUGGUUUCUCCCCAGAAGACGUCCGAAGAAAGUAGAAGGAUCUGUCUGCAGCCACCCCUUAAAGGCCCUUGCCGAGGAAUGAUCUCCAGAUGGCACUACGACAGAUACUCACAAACUUGUAAAGAGUUUACGUAUGGGGGUUGUCAAGGGAAUGACAACAACUUCUUGAGCUGGGGCGACUGUUCGAAAACAUGUAGCUCCAUCAAGAAAGUGCCUAAAAUAUGCAGAUUGGAAGCUGACGAAGGACUCUGUAGAGCAUUAAUGCAGAAAUACUUCUUCAACCUCACAUCAAUGACAUGUGAGAAAUUUUACUAUGGAGGAUGUUAUGGAAAUGAAAACCGGUUUGAUGAUGAAGAAUCCUGCAUGGACAUUUGCCUGCCAGUAAAAACUGGCCCCUCAUUUUGCUAUAGUCCAAAAGAUGAAGGAUUAUGUUCAGCUUCAGUGCCUCGCUUUUAUUAUAAUGCAAAGACAAAAACGUGUGAGAAAUUCACCUACACUGGAUGUGGUGGAAACAAUAACAACUUUCUUACACCAAAAGCCUGCCUGAAGGUCUGCAAAAAAGCAGGGAAAAAGAAACCCUAUUUUAUAAGACGAAUAAAAGCCGGCGCACAAGGAUAAAGUCUACAACAGAUGAAGAAGUAUUUAUAGUAGAUGCAUUAUUUUAAUUUGCAAAAAGCUUUAAUUUAUUAUGAUUGCUCUUUUCAAAAAUGUAACUAUGUACUUUUUUUUACCCUGUGAUCAAUUUUUGAGUUGUGACAAGUCAAAAUUGCAAUGAUUCAGCAAGAGCAAUCUGUAUAUAGUGCACUUCUCCAGACUGGAACCGUUUUGCUGGAUUUUCUGCUGGGAAAUAGAAACUUAUAAGUAGGUUGCUAUCCUUCAUUAAGAUAUCUUAAUGAACAAUAGUGAACUCAGAACACACUACUGUACAGUUGCUGAAUAUGACUGCCACUUUUUUUUUGUAAAGACUGUAAUUAUUUAGUCUACGACUAAGGCACUAAAUGCAUGUUUCCUUUUCCCGACCAAUUAAUAGUUUAGUUUUCACAUUUUACUACCCAGAAUCCUUUAUCCAGCUAAGCUGCCUAGAGCAGGGGUCCUCAACCCCCGGAUGGCGCACAUACCACUCACGCACGAAUGACAAUGCCCCGCCCAGCCGCUGAACCAGUCCGUGGUUCGAAAAAGGUUGGGGAUCACUGUCCUAGAGGAUUCUGGAAAUUGUAGUUUAAAAUGGCUCCUUUUCCAAAUUGGGAAUAAAUUAUCGCCGAGUGGAUGAACCACAGCUUUGCAUGUGGAUUGUUCAGGUUCAGUCCCUGGCAAUCUGCAGUUAAUAAAAGCAUCAAGCAGGAAGCAGUAGAAAAGACUUCUUUACAAAACACUGGAGAACUGCUGCCCUGAUGGCGCAGUGGUUAAACUGCUGUACUGCAGCCAAACUGCUCAGAAGCUGGGGUUCUAUCCCAGGUAGCUCGCUCAAG